Molecule: ribosomal RNA, 301 nt
Filed under: uncultured bacterium
Lineage: Bacteria
Description: partial 16S ribosomal RNA
Rfam family: Bacterial small subunit ribosomal RNA
Source: RNAcentral
CAGUCGCCGCGGUAAUACGAAGGGGGCUAGCGUUGUUCGGAAUUACUGGGCGUAAAGCGCACGCAGGCGGCUCGAUAAAUUAGAAGUGAAAGCCUUGGGCUUAACCUGAGAAUUGCUUUUAAGACUGUCGAGCUAGAAUCCAGAAGAGGGUAGUGGAAUUCCGAGUGUAGAGGUGAAAUUCGUAGAUAUUCGGAAGAACACCAGUGGCGAAGGCGACUACCUGGUCUGGCAUUGACGCUCAUGUGCGAAAGCGUGGGGAGCAAACAGGAUUAGAGACCCGCGUAGUCCCUGUCUCUUAUAC